This 118-nucleotide unclassified non-coding RNA is filed under the name uncultured Helotiales. RNAcentral's name for it is "sequence contains ITS2". Lineage: Eukaryota; Fungi; Ascomycota; Leotiomycetes; Helotiales. The record is from RNAcentral.
CACCUUCAAAUGGUCUUGGGGAUUGCACUCGCAGCCCUUAAAUAACUUGGUGGUAACUGGAACCCACGCAAAGUACAUCUCUGCGAAGGCGACUAGGUAAACACCGUAAACUCUUUGU